GAUGAACGCUGGCGGCGUGCCUAAUACAUGCAAGUCGAGCGAACAGACGAGGAGCUUGCUCCUCUGACGUUAGCGGCGGACGGGUGAGUAACACGUGGAUAACCUACCUAUAAGACUGGGAUAACUUCGGGAAACCGGAGCUAAUACCGGAUAAUAUAUUGAACCGCAUGGUUCAAUAGUGAAAGACGGUUUUGCUGUCACUUAUAGAUGGAUCCGCGCCGCAUUAGCUAGUCGGUAAGGUAACGGCUUACCAAGGCAACGAUGCGUAGCCGACCUGAGAGGGUGAUCGGCCACACUGGAACUGAGACACGGUCCAGACUCCUACGGGAGGCAGCAGUAGGGAAUCUUCCGCAAUGGGCGAAAGCCUGACGGAGCAACGCCGCGUGAGUGAUGAAGGUCUUCGGAUCGUAAAACUCUGUUAUUAGGGAAGAACAAAUGUGUAAGUAACUACGCACGUCUUGACGGUACCUAAUCAGAAAGCCACGGCUAACUACGUG
This 497-nucleotide ribosomal RNA is filed under the name uncultured bacterium. RNAcentral's name for it is "partial 16S ribosomal RNA". It matches the Rfam family "Bacterial small subunit ribosomal RNA", at positions 28 to 507 of the family's 1533-position model. The record is from RNAcentral.